CAGGGAGACAAAAACUGAUCGUUAUGUCUGAGUGAAAAUACUCUCAGGCCACGAUCCUGUCACCUUAGGUCGAUCGGUACCUCAGAUUGAUAGCCUUAAAAAUUGCUGUAAAAGGCUUUUUGGUUAUUCAAUUUCAGUUCCUAAACUUUGUCUAGGUCACACCCCAUAAGGGUUACUCCUGGGCCAUUAGCUCAGGUGGUUAGAGCGCACCCCUGAUAAGGGUGAGGUCCCUGGUUCAAGUCCAGGAUGGCCCAUUCGGUGUUGGGGGUUUAGCUCAGUUGGUAGAGCGCCUGCUUUGCAAGCAGGAUGUCAGCGGUUCGAGUCCGCUAACCUCCACUGGCCAACCUCCUGCAACGGCCAAAUUUUGAGAGCCAUUGUGAAAUGUGAUCUAGAGUUGUUUUAACUGACAAGAACCUAGCUUCUUUUCAUUCCUAAUCUUAAUUAAUUAAGAAGAGGUUGAAAUGAUGCUGGGCUCCCUGUUUUUCGAAAGAAUCACAGAGAUCUUCAGUUGAACCUUGACAACUGCAUAGGUGAGUCUGGAAAGAAUAAAGCAUCUCAUGGAUGCAUUUUUCUUUUGAUUUCUUUUGAGCUGUUUGAUCAGCUUUAUUAGAUUAAUUGGAAGUUAAGUGUUUAAUUCUUGAGUCAAGAGCUGAGACUCUAUAACGUUUCUUUUCCCCAAUAUGUGGGUGAAGAGUUAGAUCAAUUAUUUAAACCUAGUCUUAUUGAUUUUACUUGGUUAAUACUUAAGUAUUUGAGAUUCGCUAGGAGAAUAUUGAGAAUUCGUUUUCAACGACGUUAAUCGUUAUAGAGAUUUAU
Molecule: transfer RNA, 816 nt
Filed under: uncultured cyanobacterium
Lineage: Bacteria; Bacillati; Cyanobacteriota
Description: partial miscellaneous RNA
Rfam family: tRNA (bases 264-336)
Source: RNAcentral